Molecule: ribosomal RNA, 508 nt
Filed under: uncultured bacterium
Lineage: Bacteria
Description: partial 16S ribosomal RNA
Rfam family: Bacterial small subunit ribosomal RNA
Source: RNAcentral
GAUGAACGCUAGCUACAGGCUUAACACAUGCAAGUCGAGGGGAAACGACAUCGAAAGCUUGCUUUUGAUGGGCGUCGACCGGCGCACGGGUGAGUAACGCGUAUCCAACCUGCCCACCACUUGGGGAUAACCUUGCGAAAGUAAGACUAAUACCCAAUGAUAUCUCUAGAAGACAUCUGAAAGAGAUUAAAGAUUUAUCGGUGAUGGAUGGGGAUGCGUCUGAUUAGCUUGUUGGCGGGGUAACGGCCCACCAAGGCGACGAUCAGUAGGGGUUCUGGGAGGAAGGUCCCCCACAUUGGAACUGGGACACGGGCCAAACACCUACGGGAGGCAGCAGUGAGGAAUAUUGGUCAAUGGGCGAGAGCCUGAACCAGCCAAGUAGCGUGCAGGAUGACGGCCCUAUGGGUUGUAAACUGCUUUUAUAAGGGAAUAAAGUGAGUCUCGUGAGACUUUUUGCAUGUACCUUAUGAAUAAGGACCGGCUAAUUCCGUGCCAGCCGCCGCCGUAA